This 497-nucleotide ribosomal RNA is filed under the name uncultured bacterium. Its description in RNAcentral is "partial 16S ribosomal RNA". It matches the Rfam family "Bacterial small subunit ribosomal RNA", at positions 28 to 507 of the family's 1533-position model. The record is from RNAcentral.
GAUGAACGCUGGCGGCGUGCCUAAUACAUGCAAGUCGAGCGAACAGAUGAGUAGCUUGCUCCUCUGACGUUAGCGGCGGACGGGUGAGUAACACGUGGAUAACCUACCUAUAAGACUGGGAUAACUUCGGGAAACCGGAGCUAAUACCGGAUAAUAUAUUGAACCGCAUGGUUCAAUAGUGAAAGACGGUUUUGCUGUCACUUAUAGAUGGAUCCGCGCCGCAUUAGCUAGUUGGUAAGGUAACGGCUUACCAAGGCAACGAUGCUUAGCCGACCUGAAAGGGUGAUCGGCCACACUGUAACUGAGACACGGUCCAGACUCCUACGGGGGGCAGCAGUAGGGAAUCUUCCGCAAUGGGCGAAUGCCUGACGGAGCAACGCCGCGUGAGUGAUGAAGGUCUUCGGAUCGUAAAGCGCUGUUAUUAGUGAAGAACAAAUGUGUAAGUAACUAUGCACGUCUUGACGGUACCUAAUCAGAAAGCCACGGCUAACUACGUG